Long non-coding RNA from Nanorana parkeri, 898 nucleotides. RefSeq lists it as uncharacterized. The transcript is spliced from 2 exons. The record is from RefSeq and is a predicted model, not a curated record. Lineage: Eukaryota; Metazoa; Chordata; Amphibia; Anura; Dicroglossidae.
UUUAUAGCUUACGGCACUGUCGUUGAGCUUCGUAUAAACAGUGGUGGAAAGCUUCCGAACUUUGGUUUUGUUGUCUUUGAUGAUGCGGAGCCUGUUCAGAAAAUCCUGAGCAGUCGGCCCAUUAUGUUCCGUUCAGAUGUGCGUUUGAACGUAGAAGAGAAGAAAACCCGUGCUGCUCGAGAGGGUGACCGUCGCGGUGACAGGCCCCGUGGCCCUGGAGGCCCACGUGGAGGUCUGGGAGGGGGUCUGAGAGGACCGCCACGUGGUGCAAUGUCACAGAAGCCUGGUUUUGGGGCUGGAAGAGGCGUUCAAGGUCCACGCCAGUGAUCUUUUUUUUGUUUUUUUUCGUGUGUGUUUUUGAGUGGCAUCUAACAUCAAAAGGCAAAUCGCCCUCUUCUGUCCUGCAGCCUUCUGAAACUUGGGGUCUUGGAUGUCUUAGCAUAUUGUCCCAACGUGAUGGACUGCUACACUUCACCAAUCCCAUCCCAACCCUUUUGUUUGUGUUGCGAUUUUACGGAUUUUUUUUUUUUUCCUUCUCGAUCCUCUUCCCAGAAUCCAGCAUUUGUUGGACAAUGUCUUUUAGGGGGGAAAAGGAUUUAAAUCAUGCAAAAAACAAACAAAAACCAUGUUUUCAGCAGUCAAACGCAAUGGAACAUUUCCUGAAUUUAGGCAAAUCCAGAAGUAUGAUUGGGAUUGCUGGUAUAGGCUCUUUCUGACUUCUCGAAUCUGUUUUGGCACUCUACUCAAAGCCCUAUUUGGGGAAAAGGCUAGUUUUUGGCACAGUAUUCUGGUCUUGGUAGUAUGUAUCCAUUGAAGCUGUGAGUAGUGAUGAAGACACAGGUGGCUUAGAGCAGCCACUUACAAUCUCCAUCUGUGCUGAUUUUACUGCAAAAAAUAA